UUUGUUGGAACUGAUAGGCAGUUAAGCACAUUGCUUAAUCUUUUUACCUUCGUUUGUGUGGUGAUAAGGCUUCUAUUUUCGGUUUGAUUCGUGUUGUGCUCUUUAGAGAAUACGUUGGAUAUAAUUUAAUAUGAUUUUUUUUGUUGAGCAUAAAAAUGGGCUUGAUUUCAAACGUUGAAAAUGACUAAAAAUCUAAAAAUGCAUGUUGCAG
RNAcentral lists this long non-coding RNA (211 nucleotides) under Actinidia chinensis (golden kiwifruit). RNAcentral describes it as "long non-coding RNA (ACHI_LNC000642)". The record is from RNAcentral. Lineage: Eukaryota; Viridiplantae; Streptophyta; Magnoliopsida; Ericales; Actinidiaceae.